This is a non-coding RNA of Vicia faba (fava bean), 330 nucleotides long. Lineage: Eukaryota; Viridiplantae; Streptophyta; Magnoliopsida; Fabales; Fabaceae. The record is from the annotation of a GenBank genome assembly.
AUGCAAAUGAAAUCUUAUUCACUUCUCAAAACACAGUGGCCAUCAUCUUCUUCCUUCAACCUUCCCAAACAUCUCCUCCUCAAUCUCUUUUUCUCUCCUCUGUUUCAAACGCGUCACUCUGUGACUCACCUGCGCGGAUCCAAACCUCACCGCCGUCAACUUUGGCUCAACGUCGCUUCUGCUCGUCAUCAUUCAAUUCAGAGGCCACAACGACUCAACCUUCUGUUCGCAGAAGAGUGGAGUGGGGAUAGAAUAGGAAUUGGGUUGAGGGAAUGGAUAAGAUCAAUCCCUGAUUUUGUGGGAUCUGGAUCAACAGGGCAUUUUGGUUAG